GACGAACGCUGGCGGCGUGCUUAACACAUGCAAGUCGAACGGAAAGGCCUCUUUCGGGGGGUACUCGAGUGGCGAACGGGUGAGUAACACGUGAGUAACCUGCCCUUGACUUUUUGAUAACUUCAGAAAACUGGGGCUAAUACCGGAUAGGAGCUCCUGCUGCAUUGUGUGGGUUGGAAAGUUUCGGCGGUUGGGGAUGGACUCGCGGCUUAUCAGCUUGUUUGUGGGGUAGUGGCUUACCAAGGCUUUGACGGGUCGCCGGCCUGAGCGGGUGACCGGCCACAUUGGGACUGAGAUAAGGCCCAGACUCCUACGGGAGGCAGCAGUGGGGAAUAUUGCACAAGGGGUGGAAGCCUGAUGCAGCAACGCCGUGUGCGGGAUGACGGCCUUCGGGUUGUAAACCGCUUUCGCUCAUGACGAAGCGUUGUGGGACGGUAGGGGGUAAAGAGGCACGGGCUAACUACGU
This 466-nucleotide ribosomal RNA is filed under the name uncultured bacterium. Its description in RNAcentral is "partial 16S ribosomal RNA". It matches the Rfam family "Bacterial small subunit ribosomal RNA", at positions 28 to 506 of the family's 1533-position model. The record is from RNAcentral.